This 274-nucleotide ribosomal RNA is filed under the name uncultured bacterium. RNAcentral's name for it is "partial 16S ribosomal RNA". It matches the Rfam family "Bacterial small subunit ribosomal RNA", at positions 523 to 796 of the family's 1533-position model. The record is from RNAcentral.
AUACGGAGGGCGCAAGCGUUGUUCGGAAUCACUGGGCGUAAAGGGCGCGCAGGCGGUUUGGUAAGUCAGAUGUGAAAGCCCACGGCUCAACCGUGGAAGUGCAUUUGAAACUGUCAGACUAGAGUACUAGAGGGGAAAGUGGAAUUCCCGGUGUAGAGGUGAAAUUCGUAGAUAUCGGGAGGAAUACCGGUGGCGAAGGCGACUUUCUGGCUAGAUACUGACGCUGAGGCGCGAAAGCGUGGGGAGCAAACAGGAUUAGAAACCCUAGUAGUCC